RNAcentral lists this ribosomal RNA (274 nucleotides) under uncultured bacterium. RNAcentral's name for it is "partial 16S ribosomal RNA". It matches the Rfam family "Bacterial small subunit ribosomal RNA", at positions 67 to 339 of the family's 1533-position model. The record is from RNAcentral.
CGGCAGCAUGGAGAGCUUGCUCUCUGAUGGCGAGUGGCGAACGGGUGAGUAAUAUAUCGGAACGUGCCCAGUAAUGGGGAAUAACUAAUCGAAAGAUUAGCUAAUACCGCAUACGAUCUACGGAUGAAAGCGGGGGAUCGCAAGACCUCGCGCGAUUGGAGCGGCCGAUAUCAGAUUAGGUAGUUGGUAGGGUAAUGGCCUACCAAGGCGACGAUCCGUAGCUGGUCUGAGAGGGGGAUCCCCCACACUGGUACUGAGACACGGACCAGACUCC